AGGAGCUGUUUGAAAAUGCUAGGUGGUAGAAUUUAAUUGGAGUAGCAACUGUUCAAAAUUAAGAUUAAAAGGACCAGUCAGUCAACGUGGAUUUCGUGACACCUUAAAAAUAACGUUUCAGGUUUGAUUAAUGCUGCAAGAAGUUUGCACAUUUCUCUCCUUUGCUGAUAGGGCCUGCGUGCUGAUAGUUGAUUCAGUGAAUAUAUGUAGCAGUGAUAGCUCAUGGGCUCCAGAGGUCAGAUAUCUUAUUCUCUAGGCUGAAACCCUUGUUGCUUUAAGGAAACAGGAUUUUAAUAGGAAUCACAUGCAGAUUGACUACAGGGAGCCAAGCGGUAGUGGAAGAAGCAAAGUUGGCGGUUUUGGAGACGGACGUCUAUCUAUCCACAGUGGGACAAAAAUGAAGGUUAUUGAAAAGAAUCAUGCUUGGUGGAAGAAGUAAUUACAUUUUUUUUUCAAAUCUCAGAGGAAUAAUGCUUUUAUAUUUCCUGCGAUGACCCAAUUUGCACUACGAUAUGCUCCCUUAAAUGUGAUUUAAACAGAAGAGAGGACCACCCCGCCAACCAAAUGUCCAGGUCCUAUUCCAUGGAACCUAUGAACAGGUUGUCCCACAUUGCAAAAGGGACUUCACAGAUGUCGAAACAGGAGUGAUAAGGGGGAACUGAGGACUAAAUUUUUCUAAAGGUCUUCCUAAGGUUCCUGGAAGAAGUCACGUUUAUAAGCCAGAACUUACAUAUCUUUCUGCUGUCCCAAAAUUUUUAAACAAAACUACUCUUCCUUAACCAACUGCAAAUCAGAAAAUCUUGGAAUCUACUUAUGACCUGUAAGCCUCCGCUUCAAGAUACCCCACCUUUUUAGACCAAAGCAAUGACUAACCUCCAUGUAUUGAGGUAUGAUUUUGCCUGUAACUUCUGCCUUCUUGAAAGUUACCCAUACCUUUAAAGACCCUUGCUUGCAAGCCACUGAGAAGAUGGGUCUAAAGUGUGCAUUGCCCCAUUCUCCUUGCCUGGUUCCCUGCAAAUAAAUGCCCUGCUUUCUGCAGUGGCAAACCUCA
Molecule: long non-coding RNA, 1051 nt
Filed under: Homo sapiens (human)
Lineage: Eukaryota; Metazoa; Chordata; Mammalia; Primates; Hominidae
Description: HSALNT0383591
Source: RNAcentral